RNAcentral lists this long non-coding RNA (2122 nucleotides) under Pogona vitticeps (central bearded dragon). Its description in RNAcentral is "lncRNA (ENSPVIG00000006310.1)". Lineage: Eukaryota; Metazoa; Chordata; Lepidosauria; Squamata; Agamidae. The record is from RNAcentral.
AACUUGAAGCUGGAUGUAGGUUUGUGAAAUAACCAUGCCCAUCGCAGACAUGACUUCUCGGCCUUACACCUUUCAAGAAAGUCCUCCUGGUCACAGAGACUGGUGAAACCUUAGGAAGGAAAACCUCCAGAACAUGGCCAAACAGCCCGAAAAACCUACAGCAACCAGAAAUUAAUUUCAUUUUAUACAUCUGAUCUCUUGAUAAUACAAAUAAAUUUAACAUUUUGCAUUUUAGCUUUACAAUAGCCAGCUUUCGUAUUGUGACCUGAAAGCAUUUCGCGUACAUCUUACAGAGCAAUCCGAGCACAAGGUCACAGAUAAAACUCCUGCUGCACGAAUCCUCUGGUAGCUCAGCAAUGGCUCCUUCCAGAAAAAAGCACAUGCGCUGGUCACCCAAAUCCAUCCAAGCGCUCAUCAAAGAAAUAGAAAGCCUUCCUGAGGGUAUCCGCCUCAUGGGAAGCUCAUCAGCCCCAAACUUGGCCAUCUGGAAAAAAGUGGAGAAAAAGAUGGCCAGAAGGAAUUACCCCUGGAAGGUGUCCCAGCUCAGGAACUGCUGGAAGAUGAUCAAGUCAAAAUUCUACACGGAGCAAGCCUUUCACAAGAUCUACAAGGCUCACAGUCGUGAUCCUCCUCCAUACUAUCAGUCAAUGCUUCGGCUGUGGAAGCGGGCAGGGAAGCCCAUCUUCAGGGACAGACGCCGCACAGGCAUGGCGCAAGGAGAGGAGCCAUUGCUGGAAGAAGAGGAGGACACUGAGGUGGAGGAGGAGGAGGAGGAGGAGGAAGAGGAAGAAGAGGAGGAGGAGGAAGAGGAGGAGGAGGAAGAGGAGGAGGAGGAGGAAGAGGAGGAGGACGAGGUGGAGGAGGAGGAAGAGGACGAGGUGAUGGCGGUGGAAGAAGGGACUAGUAGGACGGCCACCUUUGAACUCAUGCCAGAAAUCUAUGUGGGACAAGAAGAAGAACCUGCACACAGAACUGGGACAACAGGCAGAGACAGGGGAGAAUCCCCACACCCAUCCACUUCUACAGCCACAAGAGGUGCCGUCCCAGGUGGGUCUGGGACGUGGAGCCUAAGAUCCCGUGAAGUCAACGCUACGUCUCUUCUGGGGAAACAGCCCUUGAAAGGAAACAGUCGCCAAGGGAAAGCAACCACCACCUUUGCAAGAACAGGACAAAAUGGGCCCGGGGCCGUGCAAACAGCAUCCAUUGAAGCAGGAAGGCGAGCCGCUUCAUUGGAGGAUGUGAUGGGCCAGCUGGAGGUUCUAACCGAAGUUAUCCAGUCUGCUGUAUUACACUUUAACCAAGAAAUUAAAGUGAUUAAAGAGCGGCUGAGAUGCCCAGAGGAGAGUUCCCGGAACCAGCAAUGAGACUCUGCACCAUUCUUUUGUAUCACUUAAGCAAAUUAUUAUAUUCUGUGCAAUGCUGACAUUUUUAUUUAGUUUGCUUAACUUGCAUGCCCAGGACAUUCGUCCUGACUUCCUUUGUUGAUGGAAUUUUGUUCACUUGAUAAAGUAAUUUCAUGUUGUGUCUGAUACAGGGGGGAAAUGUAAAACAGAAGGGUUGGGGUUUAAGGCCUUCUUCUCCCCUUUUAUAGAAUCAAGGACAUCAAGCCCAGCCCCCUGUUGAAUCGCUUUUCCCCUCCACUUUUGUUGCAAAAAGUGUAGGGGGAAAGCAGCUUUUUGCAACGAAAGUGUAUGGGCAAAGCAGGAAUCACUUUCCCCCUACACUUUUUCCAAUGAAAGUAUAGGGGGAAAGUGAUUCCUGCUUUGCCCCUACACUUUCAUUGCAAAAAGUGUAGGGGGAAAGCAGCUUUUUGCAACGAAAGUGUAUGGGGAAAGCAAUUCUUGCAACAAAAAAUGGUUAGCAACUUUUUGCCAUAUGCUUAUACUUAGCUCCACUGUUAGAAUCUCUAUACUGUCUUCUUCCACAAGAGCCUCAAUAUUUCACUUCCAUACUGUCUAUGAGGUCUCUCAGCUGCAAGUUUCAAAGUGGGCAAUUUAGAGCAUUACUGGUGAGUUCCUGAAUAUCAGAGUCAUGCAUCUGGCAGGGCUGAUACAGUAACAUUUAAGCUGUUGACGGACCCUGUAUAUGUUAAUAAAGAUUAUAAUUAAUUUUGACCCUAACA